GCAAGUCGCACGAGAAAUCCUUAGCUUGCUAAGGAAAGUAAAGUGGCGCACGGGUGAGUAACGCGUGGGUAAUCUACCCUCGAAUCUGGAAUAACUUCGCGAAAGCGGGGCUAAUACCGGAUAAUAUUAAUUGAUCUUCGGAAAUUUUGAUCAAAGGUGGCCUCUACAUGUAAGCUUCCGUUUGAGGAUGAGCUCGCGUACCAUUAGCUUGUUGGUAGGGUAAUGGCCUACCAAGACGAUGAUGCAUAGCCGACCUGAGAGGGUGAUC
RNAcentral lists this ribosomal RNA (268 nucleotides) under uncultured bacterium. RNAcentral's name for it is "partial 16S ribosomal RNA". It matches the Rfam family "Bacterial small subunit ribosomal RNA", at positions 57 to 305 of the family's 1533-position model. The record is from RNAcentral.